GGAGCUUGCGGCUUAAUUUGACUCAACACGGGAAAAUUUACCAGGUCCAAACUUAUCGAGGUAAGACAGAUUGAUAGCUCUUUCUCAAAUUUAAGGGUAGUGGUGCAUGGCCGUUCUUAGUUCGUGGAAUGAUUUGUCUGGUUUAAUUCGAUAACGAACGUGACUCAAACAUGCUAACUAGAACGCUGUCAGCAGUGCGCCUCCGGCGCACCUGACGUUACAGCCGGGGCGCGCCUUCACGGGCGGUCGUCGGCUACGUUUGCCCUGCUUAGCGGGACAACUUGUGUUUAGCAGCUGAGAAUGAGCGAUAACAGUCCGUGAUGCCCUUAGAUGUUCUGGGCUGCACGCGUGCUACAAUGUGGGUCGCAGCGUGUUCUCGCAAUAGGCGCCCCCAUUCCGAGAGGAACGGGAAAUUAAAAGAAAAUAGGAGAAGCAAUAAUAUAAAUAUGAGG
RNAcentral lists this ribosomal RNA (452 nucleotides) under Anopheles funestus (African malaria mosquito). Its description in RNAcentral is "eukaryotic small subunit ribosomal RNA". It matches the Rfam family "Eukaryotic small subunit ribosomal RNA", at positions 1178 to 1581 of the family's 1831-position model. The record is from RNAcentral. Lineage: Eukaryota; Metazoa; Arthropoda; Insecta; Diptera; Culicidae.